Molecule: long non-coding RNA, 694 nt
Organism: Lolium rigidum
Lineage: Eukaryota; Viridiplantae; Streptophyta; Magnoliopsida; Poales; Poaceae
Exons: 4
Source: RefSeq, a predicted model, not a curated record
AAAAUCUCUUACGCUUACAAGGAUAAGUCAUUUAGUCAUUUACUUGUUUUAGAAACGGCAUAUCAAUUCGUUCCCAGAAUAUGUUUUCUUAGUUAGUACUGAUUACUUACUAUCUCAGGGUGACCUGUUACUCUAAAUUUAUCACCUAAAAUUAUGUUUUUUCGUUCACAGUUUCUAGGCUGUGGCCACCUGAAUAAUCAGCCUCGAUGGCCAUGUAGGGUUGAACUGUGACCGCUCUGACCAUCAAUUAUGGAGUACUACUUGGUUUUGUGCCCUUUGAUGAUGCGCAUAUGAUUUAUGGGCAGCCGGUGUAUCCUCUUUCUACACAUAAUGAGUAUUGCCUUUGGUCACAGGUAUCCUACCCAAUGGAAUUGCUGUUUGGCUUGGAUUCUAGGCUGGUCUGAUAAAGCAUAGGGCGAAGGAUGAUAGUAUAUAUAGGAAAGCCUAUGCAAUAUGUAGUGCCUUGAAGUAUAUGUCAAUGGCAAGGUAUAAUGCUCUGUAGUAUAUGUUAGUAUCAUUCUGGUACUGCGGUGAUAAUUAGCAAGCAUAGCUUAGUUCUGUGUUCAGGCUGCUCCUAAAUUUCCUUCAUGUAUGCAUCUUUUGUCUAUGUAAACAUGUAAGUUUGUGUGAUGCUUUGUUCAGGUUUGAUCCACCUUUCCAUCAGAUGUUCUUUCAUGUAAGAAUGUUGGUCUAU